Molecule: ribosomal RNA, 406 nt
Filed under: uncultured bacterium
Lineage: Bacteria
Description: partial 16S ribosomal RNA
Rfam family: Bacterial small subunit ribosomal RNA
Source: RNAcentral
AUUGAACGCUGGCGGCAGGCCUAACACAUGCAAGUCGAACGAGUGGCGGACGGGUGAGUACUGUCUGGGAAACUGCCUGAUGGAGGGGGAUAACUACUGGAAACGGUAGCUACUACCGCAUACCAUCAGAUGUGCCCAGAUGGGAUUAGCUAGUUGGUGGGGUAACGGCUGACCAGGGCGACGAUCCCUAGCUGGUCUGAGAGGAUGACCAGCCACACUGGAACGGAGACACGGUCCAGACUCCUACGGGAGGCAGCAGUGGGGAAUAUGGCAAAAUGGGCGCAAGCCUGAUGCAGCCAUGCCGCGUGGAGGUGGAGGGCCUUCGGGUUGUAAAGUACUUUCAGCGGGGAGGCGUUACCCGCAUAAGAAGCACCGGCUAACUCCGUGCCAGCAGCCGCGGUAAUAC